UGGGGGAAUUUUGGACAAUGGGCGAAAGCCUGAUCCAGCAAUGCCGCGUGUGUGAAGAAGGCCUUCGGGUUGUAAAGCACUUUUGUCCGGAAAGAAAUCCUUGGCUCUAAUACAGUCGGGGGAUGACGGUACCGGAAGAAUAAGCACCGGCUAACUACGUGCCAGCAGCCGCGGUAAUACGUAGGGUGCAAGCGUUAAUCGGAAUUACUGGGCGUAAAGCGUGCGCAGGCGGUUUGCUAAGACCGAUGUGAAAUCCCCGGGCUCAACCUGGGAACUGCAUUGGUGACUGGCAGGCUAGAGUAUGGCAGAGGGGGGUAGAAUUCCACGUGUAGCAGUGAAAUGCGUAGAGAUGUGGAGGAAUACCGAUGGCGAAGGCAGCCCCCUGGGCCAAUACUGACGCUCAUGCACGAAAGCGUGGGGAGCAAACAGGAUUAGAUACCCUGGUAGUCCACGCCCUAAACGAUGUCAACUAGUUGUU
RNAcentral lists this ribosomal RNA (478 nucleotides) under uncultured bacterium. Its description in RNAcentral is "partial 16S ribosomal RNA". It matches the Rfam family "Bacterial small subunit ribosomal RNA", at positions 354 to 824 of the family's 1533-position model. The record is from RNAcentral.